UAAAGGACCAAGAGAUAGAGAAUUAAAAAUAGACAGAGGCAUAACACUAACAGAAGCUCCUAAAUCUAGCAUGGCAUUGUCAAACUUAUUGUUCCCUAUAAUACAAGGUAUGCUGAAUGUACCUGGAUCUUUACAUUUUUCAGGGAUUUGGGAAAUAGAUUUACCAAUCAAUGCGGAGACAUUUCUGCCCAUACUAAUUCUUUC
RNAcentral lists this long non-coding RNA (204 nucleotides) under Glycine max (soybean). Its description in RNAcentral is "long non-coding RNA (GMAX_LNC004573)". The record is from RNAcentral. Lineage: Eukaryota; Viridiplantae; Streptophyta; Magnoliopsida; Fabales; Fabaceae.